GGGGCCUUAGCUCAGCUGGGAGAGCACCUGCUUUGCAAGCAGGGGGUCGUCGGUUCGAUCCCGACAGGCUCCACCAUAUUGAGUGAAAAGACUUCGGGUCUGUAGCUCAGGUGGUUAGAGCGCACCCCUGAUAAGGGUGAGGUCGGUAGUUCGAGUCUACCCAGACCCACCACUCUGAAUGUAGUGCACACUUAAGAAUUUAUAUGGAUCAGCGUUGAGGCUGAGACAUGUUCUUUUAUAACUUGUGACGUAGCGAGCGUUUGAGAUAUCUAUCUAAACGUGUCGUUGAGGCUAAGGCGGGGACUUCGAGUCCCUAAAUAAUUGAGUCGUAUGUUCGCGUUGGUGGCUUUG
Molecule: transfer RNA, 351 nt
Filed under: Xanthomonas hortorum pv. cynarae
Lineage: Bacteria; Pseudomonadati; Pseudomonadota; Gammaproteobacteria; Lysobacterales; Lysobacteraceae
Description: partial 16S-23S ribosomal RNA intergenic spacer
Rfam family: tRNA (bases 96-169)
Source: RNAcentral